UACCAAGGCGACGAUCCGUAGCGGGUCUGAGAGGAUGAUCCGCCACACUGGGACUGAGACACGGCCCAGACUCCUACGGGAGGCAGCAGUGGGGAAUUUUGGACAAUGGGCGGAAGCCUGAUCCAGCCAUGCCGCGUGAGUGAAGAAGGCCUUCGGGUUGUAAAGCUCUUUCGGCGGGGAAGAAAUUGCACGGGUUAAUACCCUGUGUAGAUGACGGUACCCGAAUAAGAAGCACCGGCUAACUACGUGCCAGCAGCCGCGGUAAUACGUAGGGUGCGAGCGUUAAUCGGAAUUACUGGGCGUAAAGCGUGCGCAGGCGGUUUGGUAAGUCAGAUGUGAAAUCCCCGGGGCUCAACCUGGGAACUGCAUUUGAGACUGCCAGGCUGGAGUUUGGCAGAGGGGGGUGGAAUUCCACGUGUAGCAGUGAAAUGCGUAGAGAUGUGGAGGAACACCGAUGGCGAAGGCAGCCCCCUGGGCCAAUACUGACGCUCAUGCACGAAAGCGUGGGGAGCAA
This 514-nucleotide ribosomal RNA is filed under the name uncultured bacterium. RNAcentral describes it as "bacterial SSU rRNA". It matches the Rfam family "Bacterial small subunit ribosomal RNA", at positions 266 to 771 of the family's 1533-position model. The record is from RNAcentral.